RNAcentral lists this ribosomal RNA (301 nucleotides) under uncultured bacterium. RNAcentral's name for it is "partial 16S ribosomal RNA". It matches the Rfam family "Bacterial small subunit ribosomal RNA", at positions 509 to 807 of the family's 1533-position model. The record is from RNAcentral.
CAGUAGCCGCGGUAAUACGAAGGGGGCUAGCGUUGUUCGGAUUUACUGGGCGUAAAGGGCGCGUAGGCGGGCGAAUAAGUCAGGGGUGAAAUCCCAAGGCUCAACCUUGGAACUGCCUUUGAUACUGUUUGUCUUGAGUCCGGGAGAGGUGAGUGGAACUGCGAGUGUAGAGGUGAGAUUCGUAGAUAUUCGCAAGAACACCAGUGGCGAAGGCGGCUCACUGGCCCGGAACUGACGCUGAGGCGCGAAAGCGUGGGGAGCAAACAGGAUUAGAUACCCCCGUAGUCCCUGUCUCUUAUAC